Molecule: ribosomal RNA, 516 nt
Filed under: uncultured bacterium
Lineage: Bacteria
Description: partial 16S ribosomal RNA
Source: RNAcentral
ACUGACAGCCAUGGUUACCGCGGCUGCUGGCACGGAGUUAGCCGGUGCUUCUUCUGUGAGUGAUGUCCUUCCUGCGGCUAUUAACCGCAGGCCUUCUUCCUCACUGAAAGUGCUUUACAACCCGAAGGCCUUCUUCACACACGCGGCAUGGCUGGAUCAGGGUUGCCCCCAUUGUCCAAUAUUCCCCACUGCUGCCUCCCGUAGGAGUCUGGGCCGUGUCUCAGUCCCAGUGUGGCUGAUCAUCCUCUCAGACCAGCUACGGAUCGUCGCCUUGGUGAGCCGUUACCUCACCAACCAGCUAAUCCGACAUAGGCUCAUCCGAUAGCGCGAGGCCCGAAGGUCCCCCGCUUUCCCCCGUAGGGCGUAUGCGGUAUUAGCCUGGGUUUCCCCAGGUUAUCCCCCACUACCGGGCAGAUUCCUAUGCAUUACUCACCCGUCCGCCGCUCGCCACCAGGGAGCAAGCUCCCCGUGCUGCCGCUCGACUUGCAUGUGUUAGGCCUGCCGCCAGCGUUCAAU